Lucilia cuprina (Australian sheep blowfly) is the source of this 3315-nucleotide long non-coding RNA. RefSeq lists it as uncharacterized. The record is from RefSeq and is a predicted model, not a curated record. The transcript is spliced from 3 exons. Lineage: Eukaryota; Metazoa; Arthropoda; Insecta; Diptera; Calliphoridae.
AUAUUGCGUUGGAGCACAACGUCUCGUAACAAUUUUAUAGCAUAAAUGAGAAGUGCAACAAUUCCAGUUACCCUUAAAAUAAGGUUGGAGCACGAGGGCGCGUGCCGAAGAGGAAAACAAAAUUUAUUUUUAGAAAUGGUCGCAGAAUAUAUCAAAAACAACAACAAGAUGAUAAAGUACUCGCUUAUCAUCUAGAUUUUGAAACAAAAUUUAUUUUAAAAAAAUGGUCGCAGAAUAUAUAAAAAACAACAUCAACAACAGCGACAUCAAUAACCUCAACAACAUUAACAAAAACUUCAACAACCCCAACAUCCUCGAGAACCUCAACAACUUUAAAUAUCAAACAAAACUCAAUUACAAUUAGAUGAUCAAGGUCUCGCUUAUGAUAUAGAUUUAAUGGAUUUCUGCAAGUACAACAAGAACCUCAACAAUAAAUCAUUUGAGGAUUUCGAUUCUGAAUCCUCAAAUGAUAAUAACAACACCAUUAUAGUAAAUCCCAAAAAGGAUGAAGUAGAGCAAAUGGUAAAACAUGAUAGCAUAGCUAAACUACCUAUUACUAAGAAAAGACUAUCUGGAGCACAGAUGAAAUUGAAAAAGAUGCUUCAGGAAAUCAUAGUUAGUCAAUCCAACGGACUUUCUCGCAAGAUCUGAGACAAAGAGGAUCCCGAAGAGUAGACGACUGAGAAUAAACCUAAGAAGAAAAAGAGCUCCCUGGCUUCACUCUCAUCAAUGUGUUAGCACCAUAAAGAACUUGGUGGAAAGUAUCCCUUUUCCUUGAAAAUACCUAAAACCACAGCAUCAGUAACAACUACUCAUAACGUUAAAGAGUCAAAUUCUAAAAGCGAGGAAGGUACCACUAACUCGUCAAAAGAAGGUGUUGCUGCCCUUUCCAUAAUUGGCGAGGCGCCUAUUGAAAGGGCUGUCAAAACCGGACCUAAGGUGAUACCCAAAGCAUCAUUAGCAAAUAUAGGUAAUAUUGGAUGUCAAAUACUAAAAGUGAGGAGUAAAUCAUUCACUAGCCAAAAGACGUGCUGUCCAAAAUUGGGAAAGUGUCGAUUAAAACGUCUGCUCUUCCUAAACCUGAUAAGGACACCGCAGUGCCAUCAAUGGUACCCAUUGCAUCAAUAACUACUUCAGGUUACCCGGAGGAGUCAAAUCCAACGAGCGGGGAGGUGAUCACUAACUCGCUAGAAGAUAAUUUAAAUGGAUGACAAUGACUGAGGUUAUCCAACGCUCUGAUGGCUAAAAUUAACACAGGAUUAUCCACAUCGGAUGCAACAAUGCUGUUAACCUGUCUUUCGAUUCUCCGCAACUUCCACCAACGUCGGAGCUGAUGAAACUUGUCGAAGAGGCACAAAGGAAAAAUAAGAAAAUUGAAGAAAGUUGUGAUGCUAACUCCCACCAUGUAGUUUGUGGUAGUACAAACACCAAUCGCAGAGGACAAGCCUUCAUGGAUUUCCUUAAUACUAAAGACUUGAUCACAUCAAACAUAGGUAAUAAAGCUGCAUUAUUCAAUAGAAUCGAGAAGAAGUAUUAGAUAUAACUUUAUAAACGAAAUUCAGGUUUGGAAAGUUUCGGACGAGCACUACGUUUUUGAUUUUGACAUUAUAUUUUUUGUUGUUUUGUCAAUGUUUUGUUAAAUGUUGUAAUAAACAUUUUUCAUAUUUAGACAUGGGCUAAAGACAAUACUCAUAUUGAGAAACUAUAGUAAAAACAAAAAUUCAACUUUUCUACUUUCGACACUGUUGGGAUGAAAUGUUGGUUUUCAGUACUGUAUGUAUUAAAAGUCGAUUUUUGGAAAUGUAUACAUAAAAAGUCGACCCUCACCAUUUACAAUUUUAAACUUGUAGAUUUUUUUUUUGAUAUCGAGUGCACAGAAGGAUUUCUCCAAUCCUUACCAUUUUCCAAGGAGUUUUUGGCGCGACACUCCUUAGAUCCUAUACAGUUUACCGGCAGCGAUUUUAUUGGCCAUUUUGGAGAAAGCCAAUUUUCCAUUGAACUAUAGUCCCAAGAUUAUAUAUGGUCUUGACUACUUUUUGGAUUUCCCACCACUUUCCAUUGAGUUUUACAUGGUAUUUUUUAGUAGCUACUAGCUAAAUAGUUUUUAGAUAUAAAUUUUUAUACAUUUUGGGGAUGCCACGCAAAUUAUUGCAAGUUCGACAAUUUAUCCAAAUGUUGAUGAUGAAAAAUUUGAAUAAUAAUUUGAUAUAUGAAAUUUUGUAUUUAAUUCAUAUUGGAGAUGGCAAGGUCCCAUUGAAAGUCCGCCCAUUUUUCUCUAAAUGUUCGCAUGAACGUCACAGUUUUUUAUAUAAAAUUUGAAUUUUCUAGCUCUAAUAGUUUCUCAGAUAUACGAAUUUUUAUAUUUAAUUCAUAUAGGAGGUUCCAAUUUGCUAGUUCGUCAAUUUAUUACCCAAAUUUGACAUUAAUGUCAAAGGAUUUUUGCUCUAAUAGUUUCCCAGACGUACGAUAUUUUUAUUUAAUUCAUAUGGGAGGUUCCAACUAACCCUAAUGAAAGUCCGCCCAUUCCCCCAAAAUCUUGAAAUAAAUGUUAAAUUUCUUCGUGCAAAAUUUGAAGAUUUUAGGUCUUUUAGUUUCCUAGUCAAACGACAACUCCAAUUUAUUACCCAAAUCUUGACAUGGAUGUCAAAGUUGUUAUUGCAAAAUUUGAGGAUUUUAGCUCUAAUAGUUUUUCAGAUAUACGAAAUUUUCUAUUUAUUUUCUUUGUGCAAAAUUUUAUGAAGUUAGCUCUUAUAGUUUCCCAGAUAAGCGAAUUUUGUAUUUAAUUCAUAUGGGAGGUACCACGCCCCUUUCUUCUAGUCCGUCCCCUUUUUCCUUAAAUAAUCAUAUUGUCACAAAAAUGGUUAAGGCAAAAUUUGAGGACUAUAUCUGUUAUAUUUUCUCAGAUAUACUUCUUUAAUAUUUUCUUCAUAUGGAAGGUGCCACGCCUACUAUAGCCAUUCCGUCCAAAAUUUGAAGACUCUAAUUGUUGAUAUGCCACUUUUAUACCCUCAACCACCAGCAGUGGUUAUAGAGGGUAUAUAUCAGUUUGACAUUCCGUUUGUAACACUAAGAAAUAUUCAUCUAACAUUCACCUAAUAAAGUAUAUAUAUUCUUGAUCCUUAUGAAAUUCUGAGUCGAUAUAGAUAUGUGCGUCUGUCCGUCUGUCUGUAUAAAACACGCUAACGUUAAAACAAAUCAAUGGAACUCUACAAAAUUCACUCAAAAUAUUCAUUGUUGUCCUAAGCAGUCUGGUAUUGAAAAUCAAUUAAGCAAGGCCCCCUCCCGAAAAUAACUUAAACGCACAUAACUCAUUAC